This 84-nucleotide non-coding RNA is filed under the name fish gut metagenome. The record is from RNAcentral.
UACAGAAGGGGUGCCGGUGUUUUUCACUGAGCUGAGAUGAUACCCAUUGAACCUGAUACGGAUAAUGCCGACACAGGGAUAAUU